This 93-nucleotide transfer RNA is filed under the name Serratia marcescens. RNAcentral's name for it is "tRNA-Arg(acg)". Lineage: Bacteria; Pseudomonadati; Pseudomonadota; Gammaproteobacteria; Enterobacterales; Yersiniaceae. The record is from RNAcentral.
GCGGCUGAUAGCUGAUGGGAGGCACGAUAUUACGAUGGUCGUCGGCAGCGGCAUUUUUGGCGAUGCCGCCGAUCAUGCCGGCGGCGGCCGCGC